UAGCUAGUUGGUGAGGUAAAGGCUUACCAAGGCGACGAUCUGUAGCGGGUCUGAGAGGAUGAUCCGCCACACUGGAACUGAGACACGGUCCAGACUCCUACGGGAGGCAGCAAUGGGGAAUUUUGGACAAUGGGGGCAACCCUGAUCCAGCCAUGCCGCGUGAGUGAAGAAGGCCUUCGGGUUGUAAGCUUUUUCGGCCGGGAAGAAAUCGCAUGGGCCAAUACCCUGUGUGGAUGACGGUACCGGAAUAAGAAGCACCGGCUAACUACGUGCCAGCAGCCGCGGUAAUACGUAGGGUGCGAGCGUUAAUCGGAAUUACUGGGCGUAAAGCGUGCGCAGGCGGUUUUGUAAGACAGGCGUGAAAUCCCCGGGCUUAACCUGGGAACUGCGUUUGUGACUGCAAGGCUAGAGUACGGCAGAGGGGGGUGGAAUUCCACGUGUAGCAGUGAAAUGCGUAGAGAUGUGGAGGAACACCAAUGGCGAAGGCAGCCCCCUGGGUCGAUACUGACGCUCAUGCACGAAAGCGUGGGUAGCAAACAGGAUUAGAUACCCUGGUAGUCCACGCCCUAAACUAUGUCAACUAGGUGUUGGGUGGGUAAAACCAUUUAGUACCGUAGCUAACGCGUGAAGUUGACCGCCUGGGGAGUACGGCCGCAAGGUUAAAACUCAAAGGAAUUGACGGGGACCCGCACAAGCGGUGGAUGAUGUGGAUUAACUCGAUGCAACGCGAAAAACCUUACCUACCCUUGACAUGCCAGGAACUUGCCAGAGAUGGCUUGGUGCCCGAAAGGGAGCCUGGACACAGGUGCUGCAUGGCUGUCGUCAGCUCGUGUCGUGAGAUGUUGGGUUAAGUCCCGCAACGAGCGCAACCCUUGUCGUUAAUUGCCAUCAUUUAGUUGGGCACUUUAACGAGACUGCCGGUGACAAACCGGAGGAAGGUGGGGAUGACGUCAAGUCCUCAUGGCCCUUAUGGGUAGGGCUUCACACGUCAUACAAUGGUCGGUACAAAGGGUUGCCAAGCCGCGAGGCGGAGCCAAUCCCAGAAAGCCGAUCGUAGUCCGGAUUGCAGGCUGCAACUCGCCUGCAUGAAGUCGGAAUCGCUAGUAAUCGUGGAUCAGCAUGUCACGGUGAAUACGUUCCCGGGUCUUGUACACACCGCCCGUCACACCAUGGGAGCGGGUUCCGCCAGAAGUAGGUAGCCUAACCGCAAGGGGGGCGCUUACCACGGCGGGGUUCGUGACUGGGGUGGAGUCGUAACAAGGUAGCCGUAGGGGAACCUGCGGCCG
RNAcentral lists this ribosomal RNA (1286 nucleotides) under metagenome. RNAcentral's name for it is "bacterial SSU rRNA". It matches the Rfam family "Bacterial small subunit ribosomal RNA", at positions 242 to 1520 of the family's 1533-position model. The record is from RNAcentral.